AACCUUUACAAUGCACGAAAGUGUGAUAAGGGGAUUCCACGUGCAGACUAUGUCUGCUUUUCUCAAGUUCAAAACCCUUGGGGAAUAAGGGCUGGGCAAGACCCGUGCCAGCCGCCGCGGUAAUACGGGCAGCUCUAGUGGCGUUCGCGAAUAUUGGGCCUAAAGCGUGCGUAGCCUGUUAAUCAAGUUCUUGGUGAAAGCUUGCGACUUAAUCGUGAGAAUUGCCAGGAAAACUGUUUGACUUGGGACCGGAAGAGGUCGGAGGUAUUCUUGGGGUAGGGGUAAAAUCCUGUAAUCCUUAGAGGACCAUCGGUGGCGAAGGCGUCCGACUGGGACGGGUCCGACGGUGAGGCACGAAAGCUAGGGGAGCGACCCGGAUUAGAUACCCGGUUAGUCCUAGCCGUAAAUGAUGUCUGUUUGGUAUUGCUGGGCUUACGAGGCCUCGCAGUGCCGUAGGGAAGCCGUUAAACAGACCGCCUGGGAGUACGCCGCAAGGC
Molecule: ribosomal RNA, 497 nt
Filed under: uncultured archaeon
Lineage: Archaea
Description: bacterial SSU rRNA
Rfam family: Archaeal small subunit ribosomal RNA
Source: RNAcentral